RNAcentral lists this ribosomal RNA (380 nucleotides) under uncultured eukaryote. Its description in RNAcentral is "partial 18S ribosomal RNA". It matches the Rfam family "Eukaryotic small subunit ribosomal RNA", at positions 592 to 976 of the family's 1831-position model. The record is from RNAcentral.
CAAUAGCGUAUAUUAAAGUUGUUGCGGUUAAAAAGCUCGUAGUUGGAUUUCUGCCGAGGACGACCGGUCCGCCCUCUGGGUGAGUAUCUGGCUCGGCCUGGGCAUCUUCUUGGAGAACGUAGCUGCACUUGACUGUGUGGUGCGGUAUCCAGGACUUUUACUUUGAGGAAAUUAGAGUGUUUCAAGCAGGCACACGCCUUGAAUACAUUAGCAUGGAAUAAUAAGAUAGGACCUCGGUUCUAUUUUGUUGGUUUCUAGAGCUGAGGUAAUGAUUAAUAGGGAUAGUUGGGGGCAUUCGUAUUUAACAGUCAGAGGUGAAAUUCUUGGAUUUGUUAAAGACGGACUACUGCGAAAGCAUUUGCCAAGGAUGUUUUCAUUGA